AACGAACGCUGGCGGCAGGCCUAACACAUGCAAGUCGAGCGAACCCUUCGGGGUUAGCGGCGGACGGGUUAGUAACGCGUGGGAAUAUACCCUUUGGUACGGAAUAGCCUCGGGAAACUGAGAGUAAUACCGUAUGUGCCCUUCGGGGGAAGAUUUAUCGCCAAAGGAUUAGCCCGCGUUGGAUUAGAUAGUUGGUGGGGUAAUGGCCUACCAAGUCUACGAUCCAUAGCUGGUUUGAGAGGAUGAUCAGCAACACUGGGACUGAGACACGGCCCAGACUCCUACGGGAGGCAGCAGUGGGGAAUCUUAGACAAUGGGCGCAAGCCUGAUCUAGCCAUGCCGCGUGGACGAUGAAGGCCUUAGGGUUGUAAAGUCCUUUCAGAUGGGAAGAUAAUGACGGUACCAUCAGAAGAAGCCCCGGCUAACUCCGUG
This 432-nucleotide ribosomal RNA is filed under the name uncultured bacterium. RNAcentral's name for it is "bacterial SSU rRNA". It matches the Rfam family "Bacterial small subunit ribosomal RNA", at positions 29 to 507 of the family's 1533-position model. The record is from RNAcentral.